AGCAUCUUUGUGACCUCUUUUAGAACUUGCUCCAGCAGCUCCACGUCCUGCUCAUGUUGGGGGAUACCAGAGCUGGAUCCCACCUGAGAUCCAGGCGGGAAUUCAGCCGAGUGAAGUAGAGGGGAAGAAUCAAAUUGGACUGCACAUUAUAUUUGUGGACUUAAAAACAGCAUUUCGUAGGAACUGUGGAAGACCAUGACCUAAAAAAGCCAGCAAUUGCAAGGACACUGCUCCACGGUGAGGAUGGGGAAAGUAGAAACAUCCCUCUGAACAAGUCACCACAGUGAGGAUGAGGAAGAUGGAAACAUCUCUCUGAAUGAGCGGGUUGUGGAGUCCAGAAGAGGAAAAUUCAGUCUUGGGAGUCUUCAGAAAUACUACAGGCUAAAGACCACACACCAGCAUGCUGUGAAGACAACUGUAGCUCCAGCCUCAGUAUGGAUGACUGGUAGGAAUGGUGGUGUCAAGAAACUUUGACCAGUGUCAGAUUUUUUUUUUAAUUUAGAAGUCUAUAAACCUUCUCUUCUGCCUCCAAAACACCACUUUUUUCUAUCUUACCCUUGCAAGCAACCAGCAAAAUUAAAAGGUAUUGAAGAGACACAGAACAUGACUGAGCUGCUGGUGUGGAGCCUGGGCUGUGGACAUGGGGGCCACUGGAAUAGGAUGUCCCAUGCCACCACUGGCUUUGCAAAUUCCCUAAACAUCAGCUUGUCAGUUUGCUGAUCACAUCUGUCCCACAGCUAUUGGAUCCACACACUUACCCCUGAGCUAAAGAAACUGCCCUGUGCAGCACCCCAGGGUACCCUCAAAGGACAUUUUCCAAUUUAAGAAAAAACUUACUCCAUGUUAAAAGCAAACAAGCAGCAUCCCACAAGAUGCCCACAGAACCUCAGCCUAUUUUAUUAUCUUCCUAACAAUUUUGUCUGCUCUGGAUAAAUAAAAGCUCUCCUGACAUGUGAAAAGGUACCUGAAUGGAGAGAGCAGGUUGUUCCAAGGACCAGCUGGUCCCCCAAGUCCUAGUUCUCUUUCCCACGCCCUCCAGCAUCUCACUGAGAAACUUCCCCAACUGGGACACAGUCUGCUCUGCCAGGGGCUGCAGGAGAAGCUGCUCACUGCAGGUGGAGGCACGUCAGGAAAACUGCCAAGCAAGGCAUUAAGCAAUGACCAACAAGCAAACAAGAGUGCAAAAUGCCCACCAGCUGCAGCAGGAGCAGUGUGGAGGAGCCAGCUAAUAUCCUACAGCUGCUGUGUGUUGCAGUAACACCAUCUCCUCCUCGGCUUUCCUCUGCCCACAUCUUUCACCUUCAUGGGGCUGUGGCUGGGAUUUGGAAAUCCAGGAGGUAGGAGUUCUGCCUUGGUUUGCCCUGGUGUGCUAUCACAGGCCCCUGGGAAUAUUUGCCCACAAACAAUGACCAGUUACCCUCUCCUGACCCAACUCAUGGCUGGCAGGCAGGAUGACAACACAUCACCUGCAGUAGCUCUUGCCAUCACAGCCCCUUUCUGUAGCCAAAAUCUCAGCACUGGCAGAGACAAUGAAAGGAAAUCAAGCUCACACAUUCCAUACACAUGGUCAAACAGCCUGGGGCACCACGCCAUGGAGGAACAGGCAUGGGGACAGGCUGAGGGGCCACAACUCUGCUGUGCACACCAGCCCAUCCUCAUGCUGGGACCUCCAAGGAAAACCAGUCUGAAAUGGGGCAAACCAGGGCCUUCCUUAGUUUGAGUCCUGCUAAAGAGCAGAUUGAGCCAGAUUCAGUUGUUUCUGCCAUCUCUUCUCCACACCUUUUUUGGGAGGCACAUGGAUACUUCUAGGGCAGAGAAGAGCCCAUGGAGUUUGGGACUUGCUGUUGACCCUGCUUGGAGCUGGAAGUCAGAAUGAAAAACUCCCGAGAUCCCUUCCAGCAGGUCCCCUAAAUUAUCCUACAAUUCUGAUAACACCCCAUUAGUCUUCCACCCCAUACUCUGCCACCCUUGGCAGGAAAAGCCCACCCCAGUGAGGAGAGGGGCACUUGGCAGCCCUUUCCCCACAGUCUGGGCAUAUGAGGCAGGACUUUCCUCUCAACCCCUGCUACUUCUAGUCUCAUGAAUUUUUAUCAAACACUAAUGAUUUAAUUUCUUCUUACAUAUGUAGAACCUUGCCAUGAGUCUGAGCUUUUUGGGAGGAUUGUUUUGUUGUUUGUUUUUUUUUUACUUUAUAAUAAUUUUAAUUUUACAGGUUCAUAAAUCAACUCUUCUUCCUUGCUCUGCCCCACACCUCCUGUCUGGGUGUGGCUCUAAACAAAUGAGACCCUUGAAUGAAAAUUCACUUUUUUUUUUUUUUUUUUUUUUAAUUUCUUCAAGAAUUGCUCAUGUCUCCUCAGCCUCAAAUAUUUCAUGCAGGUUGUGCCAUGUAUUUCACAAGCUAAGCCAAGCAAAACACCGCCUUCCAUAUACACAGCAAAAAAAUGUUUUUCAGGCUCAAAGCAUUUCUGUCUUUGGCAGAAUCUUUUCUCAAAGCAUACCAAAGAAAAAGUAUGGAAAUGAAAUACAAAGAGUGGUUAAAAUAAUAUUUUGGGUAGAGAUGAGCCCAAACCAAACCCCAGAUUAGAAAGCCAGAUACCCCCCUAGAUACCAUGCCUAAAAUGAGGAGGUUUGUUGUGAUACUUGGAGAACGACUGGAAAGCAUUGCAGGUCUCCCACCAAGCUUAAUUUCCUAAUUGAACUCAUAAAAGACUUAACCCCUACCAGUCCUCACAGCUAACACAGAUCCUUUUAUAUUUAUACCAUAGAUUAUAUUUACCCAGGCUGGCCCUGUGUGGAUUAGAUGUGGGUGGAUGGGCAGAUGGGGGUCUGGCAUGGCAGAGAGGAUCCACAAGGCAAAGGGGCUCUGCUGAACCUGGGCAGGGGACCCAAAGCUUCCCUGGAUUUCAGUGUGGUUAUUUCUGCUAUUUGGAUCCAGCCCUUCACUGACGUGGGCACAAACUGUGGUGUAAUUUGGGGUUUCAGACCCAGUAUUUAGGACUGGAUCCAAAACUAGAAUGGAAGAAAUUUGGGAAAGAGGCUUUUAAGAGUUUAAUUUGAAACAGAAAACCCAUGAAACUAUUUUUGCCCUGGUCUUUAAUUGAACUAUUUUUUUAAUCCCCUAGUAUGCCUGGACUCUUCAGGCAUCCAGCAGCAAUGUCUCAGUAUUAAAUAGGACACUUUAUAGGAGUGAUGAAUGACUGACAAACGCAGCUCCCUGUGAACCUGCUGUUCUGGAGAGGUGCACAAACAGCACGUUACAGCUCCGUGUGUGCACUCAGCAGCAGCCACAAGGAAAGCUGACUUUAAGGAAAGCCUAUCUUAGCAGCAGAUUUCAAGAGAAUAAUUACACCUACUGAUCUAUAAACUCUCUCAGAAUCUGAUAAUGCAAGUAUUAGAGGCAUCUUUACUUUCUGUAUCCCAACAGAAAGUCCAUGUAUGUGACUGUAAAUAGGACAGUUUAAUAAAGUGUAUUUUACUCUCUAGUUUAAUAUUUUUAUAAAUCUUAAAAUAACCGUAAAAAUAUUUGUCUUAGUACUCGACAGGAUUUGGGCUUGUUUUUCUAUCAAUUUAGUGGUUGUAACACAGGUCUUAAAAUAGAGGGGGAGGGAGAGUGUUGUUUUGCUCCAGAAGCUGAGUGUAUACCCAGCACAUCAGCCCCGUUGUACAGAGCUCCUGCCACCAUGAGCCAAAACCAUCCCAGCUCCCUCCCAGAUAAGGAAGGACAAGUCCUGGGCUCUGGCCACUGCUCUGUUCCAUCCUAUACUGUGCCAGGGCUGCUCCUGUCUGGUACCCACAGCACAGGCAUGUGCCCAAAUCCUCCCCCAUCUUCAAUAAGCCAGGUAGCUGCACCUCUGUUCCUAAAACAAGGACAGGAUUUGGCUAAAAUGCUGAAUACUCAGUGGCAUGAAGGGUCCACAGUGCAGGAGGAAGAACUUAUUAAUUUUUUUUUAAUGUGAAAUAUCAUGUUUUUUGUGUUUCAAGUUGUUGAAUCGUUGCCUAUCACAGCUUGACAUUUGUUGGCUGCAGGGCUCACGUCCCACCUCUAAAGCAUACAGCUCACCCAGCACAAUCCCAGCUCUGCCCAACAGUGGUGCCAGCAUCUCCCUGCUCCCCUCACCAGAUUCUUGCUGCCACUGAUGCACAGGGACAGAUUUCUGUUCCUCUCAGCCUUCCCAAGCAGUUUUGGGAGCUGCAGGCAUCCAGGCUCAAAAGCAAACUCUGGAAGGUAGUUUAGUAGCAGAGAAUGCUCCUGGACUCCAUCAGCAACAUCCUCAGACUCAGUCACCUUUCAAAAAGACAAACUCCAUGAACACUGCUCUCAUAUACAUACAUGCACACACAAAAACUGUUAUUAGCUUAAUAGGGUGAGUAUCAAAAUGCAACAAUAAAUUAUCUGACAUCUUUAUUGCUUAGAAUGACAGAUUCAAACAAAGCUAACCCUUUAAUUAUGUUUAUAUAAUGUAAUUUGGCAGAAGUCAUAAAGCACCCCUUUGGCAAUGCCAGAUUAAAUAUUUUACAUUUGCUUGGGCAGCACAUUACAAGACUGGAAGCGGUAUUUCUGCCCAGUGCUCUGGAGCAGUGACUGCAACAGCGUGGGUAAGAACAAGGGCACAGAGGUUCUGGUCCUGAGAUCAAGGACCCCAACCCCCUAUCCCACUUUGUAGAGCUCCCCUUCCCACCCUCCCAUCCAGGAGAAUGACACCACUGACAUUUGCCAAGACCAAAACAAAAGGCCCUGCUGAUGCUAAGGGCACCAGUGGUACCUCUGUUUUUGAUGGUGAGGUUUCCUGGGCCCUCACCUCUCUGCCCACUGCAGCUUCUCUGAGUCCUCCUUCUGUGUACAACAGGAGAAGGGGACCCACUUAUGCCACAAAUAUUUUGGCUAAUGGUCCUUCAUGCCUGGGAUUUCAGAGAGAGGAUGAAGCACCAUGAGCUGUUCUGCAACACAGGACAGGGAACACUCUCAAUGUCCAGAUUCCCAGAGCCCAUUUUCCCAUCACUCCUGAGAACCUUCCCAAGAAAAAACAGGUCCCAUGGAGCUGCCCCUCCACUGCCAGCAGAUCAGGAACGUCGAUGGAGAUGAAUUUAGAACAAAGCCUCUCAAGAUCCAGGACAGCCACUUUGCUGGCAACAGACUGGUUCCCCUUCCCAAGGGAUUUUCCAUGAGUCACCACCACCAUGCUGGGAAUCUCAGCUCACUCUCAGCCCUCUGAAAUCCACAUGCCUGCUCUGACCAUGGCCACCUACUCCAACAUAUCUAAAUUCCCCACUGCCAAGGACCACCUCAGCCUUAAGGGUCUUCUAGAGACCCUCUAGUGUCUCUAGACCCCUCCUCUGACUUGGUUCUGCUGCUACAGUGGUAGCACAACAUUGAUUUUCAUAAGCAAUUACAGCACAGUAGAAUCCAGUGCAGGGAGAACGUGGUUGUGUCUUUCUGCAGCCAGUGGGAUGGAAAGCUGCAUUCACAGUGUGCUGGAGCAGCCAGAAUAAACUUACUGUUGCCCUACUUUGCUUAAGUUCAGACUAUUUCACACACAUGUUGCCCAGCAUACUCUUUGUAUAAUGUAAAGUAGGUAUCAGUUUCAACUGCUCACUAUGAACAUCAAUUUGGAUGCUGUAAAGAGGUGCCUAAACCUCUCUUCACUGUUAUAAUUAAGUGAUGUUUGUGAAGAGAUCAAUAAUCAAUGAGGAUACAGGACAGGCAACAGGAACUUUAACUUCUUCAGUAACAUGUAGAGCCAGAUGGUACAAAGAUUCACAAUUAAAAUAAAAAACCAAAAAGCCAACCUAAAAAUAAUUGAAGUGGUCCACAAAACACUGCUUAAUAUACAAUUCAUGGCAGAACUUUGCCUAACAUAAAGAGAUGAGACCUUUGGAGCACUAAGCAGAGCAAUUUACAAUUUCUGCAGUAUGUCAUGUUUGCAUCAAACUUUUAAUUACAGAAUUAAUAAAUCCAUCCAAAAUUUCUUUGGUUUCUUCAAAGACAGACUUGACUGUUUUGCCAAAGCACUUUCCCUUUUUUGCCUUCAUAUAAAUUACAGCCUGCAAAAAAAUAAGUCAAUUAAGAGAGAGUAGGCAUUAUGAAAUACUUCCCUUUGCACAAGUACACAGGCUUGCAAAUCUCAUUGAAAUUCUGUCGACUUGCAUUGCCCACACAACUUGCAAUCUUAGCGAAAGCCACACAAAAGGCUUCCCUCCCCAUUGUUUACAGGAGCGUUUUGGGAACGGGGCAUAUAUUGCAGGAAGGGAAACAGAGACAGGAGUGAAAUGUAGUUUGUUGAGCUAAUAAAACAGCAAGCCUUCCACUUGUUUCCUCAGUCCUAUAGAGCCGUUCCUGUUGAAGACUUACACGCUCCACUGUUCGCAGAGCUGGUGACAAGCAUUUUCACUGCUGACUGGUAAAGCUUGUGGGCUGGUCGUGUUUUAACUAUGAGAAUGUUUCCCAGCCAUUAUUAAUGGCAAUGGCUUAAUUAAUUAUUUAAGAGGCUGAUUGAUAUAUGACAACAAAGGGGCAGAAAGCCCUGAAGGGACCUGCUGUACCUAACUAGCUAAACUCCUCAAGAGAUUACAGCAACCCCAGAAAAACAUGAAAUUCAUCUAAAUUCAGGGGAUUCUGAAGUUUGCGAGGCAUUUGGCCAAAAGCAAUCCAAAUAUUUUCAUAUUCCUUUACAUAAAGUUACCAGUACUGCCUAAUUACAUGAGUAAUAAGAGACAACAAAGUCUCCUUCUCCCACAUUCAGAACACUCUUUCAUGCAGCAAGGAACGGUAUAUAUUAAAUAAUUAAGACGGACAUCAAUGAAAGCAAGAAGGGGCAUGAGCUUGGAAAAUCUGCCAAACCAUUGGGGCUUCUGGCAGAACACCCUGAAUGUCUGGGAUCUACUUAUUCAAAUGUGGGCAUCAAACUUUUCCAGGGAGACAGCCCACGCAGGUCAGCAGUCACACUAGACCACAGGACAGCAGCUGCCUCCUGCUGCCCUUGCAGGUGAACUUCCCACUUCAGCUCCAAGACAGCUGUGGCAGAGAAACUGAACACAGAUGAGACAAACUCUCUAACAAAUAGCUCAGAAAAAAGGUACCAGAGAUUCCCAGGCUCAUGUCCCAGGAAGUAGGGUUGCUCCUGCCAUUUCUAGGGGGGCUACAGACCAUUUCUGAAGACACAGCUAUAUACAGAUGGGAAGAAAAGCCCAGGUGUGCAGGAGUUCAUUGUUUCCCCCUACCCCAAAUAUUCAGAUGAAGUGAGCAAGGAAAAUCUAACUUUACUUGGUUAGUGACCUCAGACCAUCAUGACUGCAGCUGUGUAAUGCUGCUCCAACAAUUUGCAAUGCCAAUUCUCUGAAACCCACCGAAGGUAAAGGAUGCCUUCUGUUCAGCAGAAAGGACUGUGUCAGCUCCAAACUGCCUUUCUUGCCACUUAGAAAUCCUAGUUUAGUCCUUCACUGUUUUCAGUUUACUCCUUCACUUUGCUCCUGUUGAGGAGGAAAGAGAGAAGAGAUAAAGAGUUAAAUCUAGAUCUUCAAUAGGACAGUGAUAAUUUGCAAGAGAGGAUAAUGCCACCAACAGGUGAACUCAGGUUUUUUCUGAUUUACACCAGGGAUGAGAUUCACCAUCAGCAGGUGCUCUCCUCAAUAACCAGGUGCCUUCAGUGUGGUUUAUUUCUGAGCCCCACAUUUACACCAGAGUAACAGGAGAAAGUGUCUUCUUCUGUGAAAACUCAUCUUUAUUUGGUUGUGUACGUGGGGACUGGGUGAAGUCGUGAAGGUUUUCAGGAGAAGAACCAAGAAAAUAAGUUCUCUUUUCCACAAGAAGAUCCUUUCCACAGAAGCAAGACUUUGAACAUAGUCCCAGAUAAGAAGCUCUGGUGAUACCCCAGCCUGAGGCAGCUCACUGCUAACUACAGCCCAAACAGAAGACAGUCAUGGCAGGAGGGAUUGCACAGGAGGAAAUCCCACCAACGACCUAGAGCUUUUCAUACCAAGACCACUGAAGAAACCACUCAUGAAAUAUGUGUUUCUCACAGCAGAACCUUUUGCAAAACCUCUUCAGCCAGUCACUGUCCCUUGCUGCCCUCUGCAUCCCCAGCAGCUCCUCCUCACCCACUACCCAGCUCUGCCACCAAAAACUUCCACAUUAAACUUCCCACAUCACUGUCACAACUCCUGUGCUUACAAGAACCUGGCAGUGCCAGCCCACACUGUGCCUGGCCGGGUGCCUAAUGCCCAAGUAACCUCCCAAAUGCUUUUGAUCUAUGCUUGCAGAUGCUUUAGAGCAGUUGCCUGUAAAGGCUGCUUUGCAGAAUCAGCCCUGACUGCACCCCUGGGGCUCUGGGGUUUGGAGCAGAGCUUUCUCCAGGUGAACCCACUGGGGAUUGCUGGAUGGAUGAGACAUUUCAGCUGGGUAGAGCUCCACUCUCUCUGCUGCAGAGAGCUGCAGCUCUGGUGAACCCUUCCUGAGACCUGUGGCUAUUGCUCUGGGCUGUUCUUCAGCUUCACAGCAGGAAUCAGACCUGUGGGGUCACUCUUUCCCCCUAACCCUGGAGUUGGACCAUCAGAUAUAAGCCGUGGACUCUGCAGUCUUUGUUCUGGUUCCCUUCAUGAGGUCUCAAAAAUAAUCAGCUGCACCAAGUUAUGCAAAAAUCUCACUAAUUGAUGAGCUACUGCAAGUGGUGAAUUCCAGGUAAGACAGACCUGAGAGGGGGCUGUAGUGAGAUGGGUGUUGGUCUCUUCCCUCAGGUAACAAGAGACAUGAUGAGAGAAAAUGGCCUCAGGUUGUGCCAGGGGAGAUUUAGAUCAGAGAUUAGGAAAAAAUGUCUUCACGGAAAGACUUGUCAAACAUUGGAACAGGCUGUCCAGGGAGUGCUGGAGUCACUGUCCCUGGAAGCAUUCAAAAAGCAUUUAAUGUGGUACUUGGGAGCCUGUGUGCUCAGCCAGCUGCAGAUGGAAUGAAACUACAAUGGGAAUAAAGAGAAACCUCCGUCCAUCACACAGAUUUUGCCCUCUGCUGAUGGUAUCACCAGCAGCCUGUUUAAUGGGCUAUGGGUAAAAUCUUUAAAUCAGACAAGGAGCCAACUAAGUCUGAUUUACUAGCAAGCAAUUUGCUUAAUGAAACAGAGUGCCAAAGCAGGAAAUAUUAAUUCUUCUUACUAGAAACACAAUACUAAUUAAAACAAUUGUAAUGAAAAAGGAAAACAUAUUUAAUGUUUCUCCAUCAGUCUGAAAAUAAUUUAUCAUUUGGAUGCUUUUAGAAAUAUUUGCUCCCUUCAGACCAUGCUGGGUUUUGAAUGAAAAUGGACUGAGAUAAUCAGUAUUUAAACCUCUACAAAGAAGGUUUCAUUCCAAACCCACAAAAAUACACUUAAAUAUCACCUCUCCAGUUAUGCACUACAUGAAAAUUUUGCUUUCUUAAAAAUGGAAUUAUUUAUUUCUUUGCUGAGUGGCAGCUGCUUGCACAGUUGAUUCUACUGAGAAUUUAUGCCUGGUGCAGGCAGAGGAAAGGAGCCUGGAAUUAACCUCUUGCUCUCUGCUACUGGUAAUUACCUUUGCCACAGAGUAGAGAGCACCAGGAGCAGAGAAUCCAGGCAGGACCCUGCCAUCAGCAGCAAUGGAAUAAAUCAAGAUGUGACAGCAUGAAGGGACAAAUAAAUCACCAGGAGAGAGGUGACAUGGGGAAGGACAAGAGCUAUCAGCAAUACAAGCAGAUGGGUUUGUGGCAAACACCAGCUAAGGAGGAGCUGCUUUGGUUGGCAUCAGUAGAACAUCUGGAGUUGGGCUGUGCUUUGAGGACAGGAAAAAUGAGACACAGAGAAAUAACUUUGAGUUCCCAAUACCUCUGAGGGAGCAAGACACCCUGUCCUUGUGCAGGGUCUUGUCUAAGCAAGAGAGGCUAGAGACAGUUCAAAGGCAUCCCAGAUCUUCCUCUUCUGACACAGGAAUUUACUUCAUCCUUUACCUUUCACAUAUAUCAGAAACAUUUAUACAAAAAAAAAAAAAAAAACAAAAAAACAAAAAAAAACCCAAACAACUUAUUUUUGAGCUUCUGCUGUACUUUUUGAAGAGAAAAAGAAGUCUGCAUUCAGAUGCAUUACAGAUAUUAAUAAGGAAAUGUCCAAAGAGAAACUACUUGCUUGGGAAGUAACAUAGAGAAGGGCUCUUCCAACUUAAAACAAUAGUGUGUGGGGGAAAUAAAGAGAAAAUCUGCUUUUUUGAUGCUUAUUUUUUUCUUUUUUUUUUUUUUAAUUGGUUGGUAGGUUUUUUUGGUUUGGUUUGAUUUGAUUUUUUUUUGUUGCUGUUGUUUUAUUUUCUUUUGUUUAGAGGAAGAGAGAAGGAAAAGCAGAGAGAUUUGGUUGCCGAGGGUAUCUCAUAGCAGUGGGUGGUAAAGAUGCCUCAGUGCUCCCUUGUGACAUUUUGGUGAGAUGAUGUGUUUGGAAGGAAAGUGAAAUGAAUGAAGCUGCUUCUCAGAAACAAUCUCCCAAGGUUUCAUCUUUAAUCUCUUUCUGUCCAUACUGCAAUAUGAACUCUGUGGAGAAAAUCCCAAGGUCAGCACAGUAGCCUUUUGGUGAUGCCACAGAGUGUAACCACAUCCCAGCCCCACUCAGCAGAAGCAUCUCUUUCCUGCAGGAUCUGGAGCAGGCUCUGGCUUUACUCUUGUCCUCCUUGCUGCCAAGCCACGAUGGAAACACCCACACUGGGCUGCAGGUUUCUCCAGCAGGGAGGACACAAGCACAAGGCUGGGAUGUUUUAGCAGGAAGGGGCAACUGCCAGGCAGCUUGGUAGUUAGGGAAGAGAAAUCUCUUCUUUGCUGGAAAAAGUGAACAUGCACAAAUGGGCUUGCUCAGCUCCUCUCCCCUCAUCCCACCAAGGCAAUAACUGGAUAGUUUUUGUACCACCAAGAUGUUUGUUUCUGGUUUGGUUUCUUGUCAAGCACUUGAAGACCAGGACACACUUACAUGUGGUGAAUAGCAAAUGCCAAUGAUCAUUGCAAGGAUGGAAGCUACAUAAAACAGGGGAAGAAGAAACAUGGCAAUGACUGAGUGAAGAAAAACCAUUCAACACCUGGAGGACAACAGGGCCAGGAUCCAUUUAGAGGCCAACAGGGGGCUAACAUUAUGUAAAAUAUAAAACAAAAACAAAAACAAACAAAAAAACACCAAACCAAAAAAACACCAACAAAAAACCAACAAAACCAAACAUUGAGUAUUUUGGGCAAGAUUCUCACUUUGGUUUGUGUGCCACAGCACUAUUGAGAUCAAUAGCUUUUAAAGUCCUAAGCAGCAUCCAAUGAUGUUGUCAGUAUUAGGCCUUGAGAAGAUUUGUUAAUGAGGUAUGGCAAGAGAAGGUGCUUUAAAUUAUCAUUAUUUUUUCUUGUAACUACUUUGAAGAACCCAUCUCUAAGUCACAGAAGUCCUCCUGGAAGCUGGUAUGAGCUAAGAACCUUAGAGCCAAAAUCACAAGAUGCUUCAGAAAACUGCCCGUGAGGGACACAAACUUUCACACUGGAGAAUACACCAACCAUUAAUUAUGCUAAAAGAGCAUGCAGAGGUAAAGAAAUCCAUCUCACUGACCUGCUGCCCUGCUCCAGGAAAAUAUUUCUUACACUCCCUCCAGCUUGCGUUUUGAUUUUGUGGAAUCAAAAUCCUUCCCGACUCCAGCUUUCUGUGCCCUUCCCCCUGGUUCUUUUGGACAGAAUUACAAAAUGAUGGGGUUAAUAGAGCACAGAGCAGCUGCAGUCUAUUUGGAUUUCACUGAAGGACUCGAUACUGUCUCCUGAAAUCUUAUGCUCCAAAUUAAUUCAAGUUGGCUCGGGCAGGAAAACACUGUCAUGCUGACCAGAAGCUGCCUGAGGACUGUAAACAAGGGGCAGUGACAGGCAGCAAUGCUCUCCCUCCAGCACCAAGGGGCUGAGAGCUGCCUGCUGCACUUCACCCUCAUCAGACAUCCAGCAAAAGAAAAGGGGACUCCAGGAGCACUGACAGAAAGACCCAGAUGCAGUUAAAACAAAAGGAGGUUGCAUCCAAUUGAGCAGAGGUCAAAGGAAUUAAGAAAUGAUGGUAAAACAAGUCAGCUUUCCAUGGGAAGGGAAGAGGAGGGUUGCAUACCUAUGCUAGGAUAGAAGAGUUCAUAGGUGUAACAAAGGGGAAGAACCCAGCAGGCAGCAGUGUUAAUACCACUGCAGCUACCCAGCUGCCUGUCUUCAUUUUAGGGUGGAAUAAUUACUGCUCUCUUCCAGAGUGAAAUAAUUGCUCUGGAGUACACUCCCUCAGUAGGGUUCAGAGGAGAAGCAGCCCCAGAGCAGCUCGCACAAAAUAGAAUAUUCUAAGCAAUUUUGCUUGGUAGACAAGACCCAAAAUUCAAAUAGUUUUGAUCCAUAGGCAGAAAAUCCAUGUGGGAGCAAAGAAAAGGAGUUUUGUAGCUGAUGCAAUCAGCAGUCUGCCCUUCUUGUUGGUGUCAAAAUCCGCUGAUCCAUUCAACUGCUUCUAAAAUCUAGGGAAUUUUGCUGCCUUAAUAGGAGAGGAUUUGGUUUAGGCCAGUUCCCUUUCCUUCAAGGGAAAGGAAGGGGUUUUUUUACAUGUUCUUAUAUGAUUUGUAUGUGUUCAUCACACACAGUUUCCAAGUUCUCCAGCAGAAAAUAAAACUACAAGAAAUUCCCAGGUGUGUCCUGCCUGCUGUUUUCCAGGCCAUGUACAACAAUCUCACCUUUGGACUUCGUGGUAUUUCAGUUUUACAGUAUCCCAUGUGAAGUCACUCAUCCUCCUCCUCCCUGUCUUUUAGGAGAAAACCACUGCUGCACUGGAGGAGCUAGAGACUUUUCCUGAUCCUGAUUUGAAAUAUUCACACAAUGCAGUGACGGGCAAUUCCCAAAGCACCCAGGUGGCCAAGGAAGUAGAUUGUUCAAAUGGCAUUUAAAAUGGUUUGGCCAAUCAGCCACUGGUGUUCUUCCAAUAAGUUGUUAAUAAAUGAAUUCUCAGCUCCAUCACCUCCCUGGACUGAGCUGUGUGUCCUGGAGGAGUUUUGGUCACCUUACAGGAGAUUGCUCCCAUUAUUAAUUCAAAGACUGAGCUUAAGCCUGUUUGAACUCACUGUAGGAGUAAUUCCAGUUUCUCCUUGCCAAUCCAAAAGCCUCCCACCCAUUCCCUUUGAUACCAAGGUAGGAAAUUUGGAUGAGGCAGAGCUGGGAUGCAGAGUAGGGUGGAUGGCCCCUGGUGGAAAAAAAGCUACUCUAAAAAGGGCCUGAUUUUGAGUUAAUUCCAGCUCCAUAACCAGCCAGUCACUGGGAAUGUGAGACUCAGCCUUCAUCUCUUCCUGCCUAAUAUGAAGCAGAUGUCUUCUGUUAAUGAACCAUUUGCUAAUUAGUAACCACUUCAUUUUCUUUCCAUCAGUUCUCUUCUCUAGCUCAGACACAGAGAGGGCAGGCUGUGUAAAUAAGGCAGUUCCCAUAGAAAUGUACUGCAUGUAUAUGCAAUGCAAAGGCACUGAGGCAGGAGGUGAGCAGCACAGUUCCUCUUAAAAGAUGGGACACUUGACAGGGAUGUGGGAUAUGUCAUUCACCCCUUUGCAUGUCUUUUGACUCACCAAGUUGCUUUAGCCUCUGUAUUUUGAACUCAAAUCCUUGCUCGUGCCUUGUCUGUUCACAUCAUAAAUGCCAAACAAGGGGCAUGUCUCCAAUUUCAGUGUUUAGUAGAAAAAAACUGUGAUAUUUUCUACCACCAGGGAGACUAUAAUAGGGCAAAGCUUCACAGCAGUGACUUUACAACCCCUGUGACUGUGGAUAUAGAUGGUAAAAUUCAGGCUCCAGAGAUGAAAAAGUUAUUCACAGUAAAUGUCCCUUUUUCCUGGUGAGGGUUGCAGAGCAUCUGGAACAACCCUCAAAGUGACAGGCUGCAGCCCCUGAUGUGUUCUGGCACAGGACCCUCAUCCCUUUGCUCCCGAGAUGCUCCAGUGGGAGUGGAGAUCACCCAGCAGCUGGGACACACCACCCAGGACCCCUGAACUUGGGACCUCUGAAUUCCAGCCCAAAAUGUUGCAUCCCAGCAUCCCAGUUCAAUCAAGAGAGAUUAUUUUCCUCUGCUCUCUGCAUGAAUAACAUAAUGAUAGUUAUUAAUUAUUUAUAGGAAAGGGAUGACAUUUAAAUUCUGUCUGGGUCCCAGCCAUCACAUUGCAUCUUUCUAAUAGUUUCCCAAUAGAAACAGAUUCCUGCUCUGGCUGCCUUACUCUCCUUUCCCCUUUCCCCUUGAUACUAAGGGGUCUUAAAAGCUUAAAAAGCUAUAGCCAUGCUGAUUUUGUAAUACUCUGGAACUCUCCUUUUGCAUCAUCCUAAGGGGGACUUACACUAAUGUAAUUCUUGGAAAUAAAUUCUCCCCUCAUAAAACACCCCAAACUGUAAACCUUCCAACAAGCUCCUUACAUUAAGGCAUUUUAAAGUUUUAUUUCAGUAAUCAUCAUAAUAAACAACUCCAGUCCUUACAGAGCUUUUCAUCCCCAAGGAUCCCAGAGUGCUUCGAGCCACAUCAGCUACAGGCAGGGAUGGAUCUGCUGCCCAGUGAAAAGGUGGCUGUUCCCAGGGCUCCAGCCAGCUGUGCCAUGCUGUGAGAGAGAGCUUUGAUGCAUCUCUGCAGCUCAGCUGGUGCAGAAGUCCUGUUUGGAUGCUCAAACCUUGCCAAAGCAGGAAUGGUACAUGUCCUCCAGCUCUGCAGCAUGAAAUGGAACCAGAGUCCAGUAGCUGGUUACCAGGAAACAAGCUAUUAAUUGGGGGAUGUAAUAACUAACA
Molecule: long non-coding RNA, 14761 nt
Organism: Passer domesticus (house sparrow)
Lineage: Eukaryota; Metazoa; Chordata; Aves; Passeriformes; Passeridae
Exons: 5
Source: RefSeq, a predicted model, not a curated record